UGCCGGUCGGGAGGUCUGAGAUAUAAAUUACUAACUCUUCCCUCUUUUCGCUUCACGUUAUUACUCAAUUCACAGACACCCCAGAAAGAAGAGAGAGAGCGCGCGAGAGCAAGAGAAUCGGAAUACGAAACCCUAUAACUGCGUCCAAAGGAGUUAUUCUUGAUUUCUUGAAUUUUCUCUGUUUAUCUUCUUUAAUGGUAAUUUUACUGGUUCUUAUGUAGAGAUGGCUCGACCGAUUAUGAUGAUUUUACUUUCUCUAUAUGUGGGUAGAUUUGUAUCGGUUUAUAGAUUUAGGGUUGAUGAGUUUUGGUCAGAAUUUUGACUUUUGAUGGGUUUCUCGCUGAGAUUUUGUCUGUUGUUGAUUUGUUAGAUGGGCUUUCUCGUCUUGUCCACAGAUUGUCUGUUGUCGAUUUAUCAGAGUAGCUUAUGAGUUUUGAUACCCUUUAAUGAAGAAGAAAAAACUAUUUUGAUAGGGUUGUACGUCUCUGUAGCAAUUCAAUCCAGUGUUGUCCGUCUCUGAUUUAUGGGUAGUGAAUCAUGUUAUAUGUUUAGAUUUUUACAUGGAAUAAUUGAAUUGUUGCAUUGGUUUAUAUUAAUUUUGGUUCAAUUGUGUUGCUGGGUUAAUCAAAUUGAUGCUACUCUUGUAAUCUAGUAUUUUGUUAAUAAUCGCAGUAUCUGUUUAGUUGAUUUAUAAGAUUUUUGAAUGCUACCUCAUUAAAUUAGUGUCUUCACAUGUGUAUUAGGAUAAGGCAUAGAACAUAAUGUGGCUGAAAGAGGCUAAGAAGCAGGACUAUUAGAAAGUUAAAAGAGUGAAAAAGAAGGUAACUGUAAUUAAAUAAUUGAAUCAAUGCUGUUCGUGAAAUCAUUAGGUUAUAGUGUUCUUUUAUUGGAUUAACUUAAUUGUGGGAUGGAUGCUAUACUUUGAAUGCUUUAUGUCUGACACGUACAUUUUAAUUCUUUCUAGCUGUUGUGUUGAAUUUUUCAGUUUUUGUGUUUCUUUAGUCUUGGGUACUCAUCAGAACAUGGACUAACCACUUACUGUCUUGCAUUCUAGGCUGUGAGUCGCAUGGAAAACAUGAAAGAAGUAGCUAUUGACUCUUCUGCUGUUGAGUCUUUUCCGAGCAUUCGCUCUGGUAGCUAUGCCAACAUUGGAACGAGGCAUUCUAUGGAUGAUGAACACAUUCGGAUUGAUGAUCUAUCCGCUCAUCUGGGUUCUUUCUUCAAGUGGCCAAGUGCUUUUUAUGCUGUGUUUGAUGGUCAUGGUGGGCCUGAUGCUGCUGCUUAUAUCAAGAGAAAUGCUAUGAGGUUGUUUUUUGAAGAUGCCGAGUUGCCACAAACAUCUGAUAUUGAUGCUGUGUUCCUCGACGCAUUGGUGGAUUGCCAUAAGAAGGCAUUUUUACUGGCAGACAUUGCCUUGGCUGAUGAAAGCAGCGUUAGUAGUUCUUGCGGAACAACAGCUCUGACUGCCCUAGUUCUUGGAAGGCAUCUACUGGUUGCAAAUGCUGGUGACUGCCGGGCAGUUUUAUGCAGGAAAGGGGUAGCUGUUGAUAUGUCACAAGAUCACAGGCCUUCUAAUUUGCCAGAGCGCAAGCGGGUUGAGGAGUUGGGUGGCUACAUUGAAGAUGAAUAUCUUAAUGGUUAUCUCUCGGUUACUAGAGCUCUUGGAGACUGGGAUUUGAAACUGCCACUUGGGGCUGCAUCGCCUCUCAUUGCUGAGCCAGAUGUUCAAGAGCUUAUGUUAACAGAGGACGAUGAAUUCUUGAUCAUUGGUUGUGAUGGCAUAUGGGAUGUUUUGUCAAGCCAGGAUGCUGUCAGCUUUGUCCGGCGUGGACUUAGGCGGCAUGAUGACCCGGUGAUGUGGGCCAGAGAACUAGUUAUGGAAGCAUCACGCCUCCAUUCAACUGAUAAUCUAACUGUAGUUAUCAUCUGCUUCUCUUCACCUAUUGUUGUUGAGUCAUGUACCCCUCGGAGGAGGUUCAGGUGCUGCAGUCUUUCUGAGGAAUCUCGAAAUAGAUUGAGAAGCUUGUUGGAAGGCACUUGAACGUGCAGAAAAAUUAUUUUGUAUUUGCAGAAAUUUUUAAUGAUAAAGGAUUUUUGUCUGUUUGUGGCUGUUUCAGAUAGCUAAGAAAAAAAGCAGCCAGCUGUUCUGUAGGGAUAGAAGAGAGGAUACUGGAAUAGCGGUUGCGUCAAGUAAAGAUUAUGUUUCUGGAUUGGUAAAUUUAAUGAGGCCAGAUUAUUUUGCCAUAGUUUCAUAUUCGGUUCAUUUCAAUACGUGCCCAGUUUGUUUUAUUUUCUUUUAUUAAUCAUCUGUCUCGUAUGGAGUUAGAACUGUUGGGUUGGGCAAUAAUUUGAAGUUGAUUUAUGCAUUGAUUUGUUUCUGGCUUUCUGAUUCCAAUUCCAACCACUAGUCAUUUGUGUUGGAUCGUUUAACCUGUGGCAGAGGAGUUUUUGUUCAUUUACUAGUAUGGGUUGGUUUAGUGGCGCACAAAGGCCUCACAAUCUUAAUGGAAGGCGAGGCCAUCUGAUCUGCCCACACAAUCAGUCCACCACGAGACGAGAAAGAGUGAAGGUAGGAUAUCUGAGGCCACCAUUUUCUGGAGUUUAUACCUUCACCUUGUACAUUAUCAACAAAGAAAUUCCAAAUAAUGGACCUGUGGUGUUAUUCCAUGCUACAUGUUCUUUGCCCACAUAUCAUUGCCCAAUCGCCCUCUUUCUCUCUCAUUUUGGGGCUUGGCCCCGUCAAACCAUUUGAUUUGGGGGACUGAAUAUGAUUAAUGGCUGGAACUCUAGAAAAAGAUCCAGCCGUUGAAUCAAAAUCACUUUCAACGAUUUAGGUUGAAGGUGGACCUGCUCAUCAAGGGUCGGGAUCCGUUCAUUUUAUGAUACAGAAGAAAAUUGCCAGUCAAAUUGACCGAGGCAAACGAAAGGCUUUGAUUGCAUCAGAUUCUCACUUGUAACCGACGCACGAAUACACCAGAUUGCUCUGAACUAUAAAUAAAACAAAGAGAACUCACGAAUAUUCUUGGGCCGGUGAAUUGUCAAAAGCCGCAGUCUCAUCGUCAUGAUACAAAAUAGAAAGAGAACUUACACUGUGUAGAUACCAGAACAAUAAAAAAUGGCGAUGGCAAGCUUCGCGAGAAGAAAGGCAUACCUUCUUGCUAGAAAUUUCUCCAAUUCCAACCCUGAUGCUCUCAGGUACUCUUUCUCGCUCACCAGCUUCUCUCGUGGCUUCGCCUCCUCGGGAUCUGAGGAGAACGACGUCGUUGUCAUCGGCGGCGGUCCCGGCGGCUACGUCGCUGCUAUCAAGGCCGCUCAGCUCGGACUCAAAACCACUUGCAUCGAGAAACGUGGAACUCUCGGUGGCACCUGCCUCAACGUUGGAUGCAUCCCUUCUAAGGCACUUCUUCACUCCUCCCAUAUGUUCCAUGAAGCUCAGCAUUCAUUUGCCAGCCAUGGUGUGAAGUUUUCAUCUGUUGAAGUUGAUUUACCAGCUAUGAUGGCUCAAAAAGACAAAGCUGUUGCUAACCUGACACGAGGUAUUGAAGGUUUAUUUAAGAAGAACAAAGUGAACUAUGUGAAAGGGUAUGGCAAAUUCAUCUCCCCCUCUGAGGUGUCUGUAGACACAAAUGAAGGUGGAAACACUGUUGUGAAAGGCAAGAAUAUUAUAAUUGCGACUGGCUCUGAUGUCAAAUCUCUACCUGGGAUCACCAUUGAUGAAAAGAAAAUUGUAUCAUCUACCGGUGCUUUGGCUUUGUCUGAAAUUCCUAAGAAGCUUGUGGUCAUUGGGGCAGGCUACAUUGGGCUUGAGAUGGGCUCAGUUUGGGGCCGGCUUGGUUCAGAAGUAACUGUUGUUGAGUUUGCUCCAGAUAUCGUCCCAAGCAUGGAUGGGGAAAUUCGCAAGCAAUUCCAGCGUACGCUUGAGAAGCAGAAGAUGAAAUUCAUGCUCAAAACUAAGGUGGUUGGAGUUGAUAGUUCUGGAGAUGGUGUAAAGUUGACGCUUGAGCCAGCAUCUGGUGGUGACCAGACAACACUUGAAGCUGAUGUGGUUCUUGUUUCUGCUGGUAGGACUCCAUUCACUGCUGGACUUGGGCUGGACAAGAUAGGUGUGGAAACAGAUAAGGUGGGACGAAUUCCAGUGAAUGAAAGGUUUGCAACAAAUGUAUCUGGAGUUUAUGCAAUUGGGGAUGUGAUUCCAGGACCAAUGUUGGCCCACAAGGCAGAAGAGGAUGGAGUUGCUUGUGUGGAGUUCAUAGCUGGUAAACAAGGCCAUGUAGAUUACGACAAGGUCCCUGGAGUUGUCUAUACACACCCUGAGGUUGCUUCUGUUGGUAAGACAGAGGAGCAGGUUAAGGCACUUGGUGUUGAUUACAGGGUUGGGAAGUUUCCUUUCGUAGCAAAUAGCCGUGCCAAGGCAAUUGAUGAUGCUGAAGGGAUAGUCAAGAUAUUGGCUGAGAAGGAGACAGAUAAAAUAUUGGGAGUCCAUAUCAUGGCCCCUAAUGCUGGUGAGCUCAUUCACGAGGCAGUACUGGCCCUUACGUAUGAUGCUGCAAGUGAGGAUAUAGCACGUGUGUGCCAUGCACAUCCAACAAUGAGCGAGGCAUUGAAGGAAGCUGCCAUGGCUACACAUGACAAGCCCAUACACAUAUAAAAUAUUGAACAGUAAUUGUUUUUCAUUUUUGUCUUCAGGAUUUUGCAAGUUUAGCAAAAACUUGACCUUUUCUAAUGUUUUUGUCAUUGAAGCAGAUGAAAUGCUUGAAUAGAAAUUUGCCGUUGUUCAUUUCCUUGCAGAAUAAUUUCAUGUGUUAACAUUGUCGGAUGACAUGAGAUGUACUUUGAUCUAAUGGGCAAUAAUCAAUCGGAAGGAGCUAGUAUGUAUGGCCG
This 4881-nucleotide unclassified non-coding RNA is filed under the name Hevea brasiliensis (rubber tree). The record is from RNAcentral. Lineage: Eukaryota; Viridiplantae; Streptophyta; Magnoliopsida; Malpighiales; Euphorbiaceae.